RNAcentral lists this ribosomal RNA (406 nucleotides) under uncultured bacterium. Its description in RNAcentral is "partial 16S ribosomal RNA". It matches the Rfam family "Bacterial small subunit ribosomal RNA", at positions 355 to 776 of the family's 1533-position model. The record is from RNAcentral.
UGAGGAAUCUUCUGCAAUGGGCGAAAGCCUGACAGAGCAAUACCGCGUGGAGGAUGAAGGCCUGCGGGUUGUAAACUUCUUUUCUCAAGGAGGAAGAUCUGACGUUACUUGAGGAAUAAGCAUCGGCUAACCACGUGCCAGCAGCCGCGGUAAUACAUGGGAUGCAAGUGUUAUCCGGAAUUAUUGGGCGUAGAGCGUCUGCAGGUUGGGAUUUAAGUCUUUUGUUAAAGCUUUGGGCUUAACCUGAAAUAUGCAAAAGAAACUACUUUUCUAGAGUCUAGUAGAGGUUAAGGGAAUUCCCAGUGGAGCGGUGAAAUGCGUAGAUAUUGGGAGGAACACCAAUGGCGAAGGCACUUAACUGGAAUAAGACUGACACUCAGAGACGAAAGCUAGGGGAUCAAAUCAG